RNAcentral lists this ribosomal RNA (253 nucleotides) under uncultured bacterium. Its description in RNAcentral is "partial 16S ribosomal RNA". It matches the Rfam family "Bacterial small subunit ribosomal RNA", at positions 524 to 776 of the family's 1533-position model. The record is from RNAcentral.
UACAGAGGGUGCAAACGUUGCUCGGAAUUAUUGGGCGUAAAGCGCGUGUAGGCGGCCUGUUAAGUUGGUUGUGAAAACCCAUGGCUCAACCAUGGAAGUGCGUCCAAAACUGGCAGGCUAGAGUUCUGACGAGGAUGGCGGAAUUCCCAGUGUAGAGGUGAAAUUCGUAGAUAUUGGGAGGAACACCGGUGGCGAAGGCGGCCAUCUGGGAAGAUACUGACGCUGAGACGCGAAAGCGUGGGGAGCAAACAGG